RNAcentral lists this ribosomal RNA (457 nucleotides) under uncultured bacterium. RNAcentral's name for it is "partial 16S ribosomal RNA". It matches the Rfam family "Bacterial small subunit ribosomal RNA", at positions 338 to 795 of the family's 1533-position model. The record is from RNAcentral.
CCUACGGGAGGCAGCAGUGGGGAAUAUUGCACAAUGGGGGAAACCCUGAUGCAGCGACGCCGCGUGAGUGAAGAAGUAUUUCGGUAUGUAAAGCUCUAUCAGCAGGGAAGAAAUAAAGUCCUUCGGACUUUGGACGGUACCUGACUAAGAAGCCCCGGCUAACUACGUGCCAGCAGCCGCGGUAACACGUAGGUGGCAAGCGUUAUCCGGAUUUACUGGGUGUAAAGGGAGCGUAGACGGCAGCGCAAGUCUGGAGUGAAAUCCCAUGGCUUAACCAUGGAACUGCUUUGGAAACUGUGCAGCUGGAGUGCAUGAGAGGUAAGCGGAAUUCCUAGUGUAGCGGUGAAAUGCGUAGAUAUUAGGAGGAACACCAGUGGCGAAGGCAGCUUACUGGACUGUAACUGACGUUGAGGCUCGAAAGCGUGGGGAGCAAACAGGAUUAGAUACCCCGGUAGUC